AUGCUUAACACAUGCAAGUCGAACGGGAUGCUUAGGCAUCUAGUGGCGGACGGGUGAGUAACGCGUGAGAAUCUGGCUCCAGGUCGGGGAUAACAGUUGGAAACGACUGCUAAUACCGGAUGUGCCGAGAGGUGAAAGAUUUAUUGCCUGGAGAUGAGCUCGCGUCUGAUUAGCUAGUUGGUGGUGUAAGGGACCACCAAGGCGUCGAUCAGUAGCUGGUCUGAGAGGAUGAUCAGCCACACUGGGACUGAGACACGGCCCAGACUCCUACGGGAGGCAGCAGUGGGGAAUUUUCCGCAAUGGGCGAAAGCCUGACGGAGCAAUACCGCGUGAGGGAGGAAGGCUCUUGGGUCGUAAACCUCUUUUCUCAAGGAAGAAGAAAGUGACGGUACUUGAGGAAUAAGCAUCGGCUAACUCCGUGCCAGCAGCCGCGGUAAUACGGAGGAUGCAAGCGUUAUCCGGAAUGAUUGGGCGUAAAGGGUCUGCAGGUGGAACUGAAAGUCUGCUGUUAAAGAGUUUGGCUUAACCAAAUAAAAGCGGUGGAAACUACAGAACUAGAGUGCGGUAGGGGCAAAAGGAAUUCCUGGUGUAGCGGUGAAAUGCGUAGAUAUCAGGAAGAACACCGGUGGCGAAAGCGUUUUGCUAGACCGUAACUGACACUGAGGGACGAAAGCUAGGGGAGCGAAUGGGAUUAGAUACCCCAGUAGUCCUAGCCGUAACGAUGGAUACUAGGCGUGGCUUGUAUCGACCCGAGCCGUGCCGGAGCUAACGCGUUAAGUAUCCCGCCUGGGGAGUACGCACGCAAGUGUGAAACUCAAAGGAAUUGACGGGGGCCCGCACAAGCGGUGGAGUAUGUGGUUUAAUUCGAUGCAACGCGAAGAACCUUACCAAGACUUGACAUCCUGCGAAUCCUGGUGAAAGCUGGGAGUGCCUUCGGGAGCGCAGAGACAGGUGGUGCAUGGCUGUCGUCAGCUCGUGUCGUGAGAUGUUGGGUUAAGUCCCGCAACGAGCGCAACCCUCGUUUUUAGUUGCCAGCAUUAAGUUGGGCACUCUAGAGAGACUGCCGGUGACAAACCGGAGGAAGGUGAGGAUGACGUCAAGUCAGCAUGCCCCUUACGUCUUGGGCUACACACGUACUACAAUGCUACGGACAGAGGGCAGCAAGCCAGGGAUGGCAAGCGAAUCCAGAAACCGUAGCUCAGUUCAGAUCGAAGGCUGCAACUCGCCUUCGUGAAGGAGGAAUCGCUAGUAAUUGCAGGUCAGCAUACUGCAGUGAAUUCGUUCCCGGGCCUUGUACACACCGCCCGUCACACCAUGGAAGUUGGUCACGCCCGAAGUCAUUACCCCAACCGAAAGGAGGGGGAUGCCUAAGGUAGGACU
Molecule: ribosomal RNA, 1380 nt
Filed under: Cylindrospermopsis raciborskii XM2
Lineage: Bacteria; Bacillati; Cyanobacteriota; Cyanophyceae; Nostocales; Aphanizomenonaceae
Description: bacterial SSU rRNA
Rfam family: Bacterial small subunit ribosomal RNA
Source: RNAcentral